AGUAAUCUCCAUAAAGAACUACCAUCCGAAGAUAAGAAUCAUCACUCAAAUGCUGCAGUAUCACAACAAGGCCCAUCUGCUAAACAUCCCGAGCUGGAAUUGGAAAGAAGGUGAUGACGCAAUCUGCCUCGCAGAGUUGAAGUUGGGCUUCAUAGCCCAGAGCUGCCUGGCUCAAGGCCUCUCCACCAUGCUUGCCAACCUCUUCUCCAUGAGGUCAUUCAUAAAGGUAUCUUCUUUAAUCCAGGCUGCUCUCAUCCUGCAUGGGUGGAACUGAAUGGAGGUGGCAGGGAGGUCUGUGUAGCUGUGUUUAGAGACGAGACCCUGAAGCCAGAUGUAGCCACGUGUCUCCCAGGGAUCUUAUGUUCAACAUGAAAAGCCCAGACUCAGGAUAAAGGACUGUCACCACGAGAACUUCUCUGGCUCUUUCAAUCAAGCUCUGGUGGUUUUCUUCCAGGGCAUGGCCCAUGGGACCAAGCACAUGGUGUGUGGAGCUGUGCUCUGCUUCCUCGUGUUGAUGUAACAUGGGCUUUGGCAGGGCCCCACCACAGAUGGGGCCCCUUGACAUGCGUAUGUUUUGAUUUUGUGGUGCCUGCAUGGUAACUAGAGCUGUCUGUCAAGGAAAUUAAUAAAAUGGAUG
RNAcentral lists this long non-coding RNA (637 nucleotides) under Homo sapiens (human). RNAcentral describes it as "non-protein coding lnc-DLG5-4:2". The record is from RNAcentral. Lineage: Eukaryota; Metazoa; Chordata; Mammalia; Primates; Hominidae.